Molecule: ribosomal RNA, 380 nt
Filed under: Pseudomonas sp.
Lineage: Bacteria; Pseudomonadati; Pseudomonadota; Gammaproteobacteria; Pseudomonadales; Pseudomonadaceae
Description: bacterial SSU rRNA
Rfam family: Bacterial small subunit ribosomal RNA
Source: RNAcentral
CGAAAGGAACGCUAAUACCGCAUACGUCCUACGGGAGAAAGCAGGGGACCUUCGGGCCUUGCGCUAUCAGAUGAGCCUAGGUCGGAUUAGCUUGUUGGUGAGGUAAUGGCUCACCAAGGCGACGAUCCGUAACUGGUCUGAGAGGAUGAUCAGUCACACUGGAACUGAGACACGGUCCAGACUCCUACGGGAGGCAGCAGUGGGGAAUAUUGGACAAUGGGCGAAAGCCUGAUCCAGCCAUGCCGCGUGUGUGAAGAAGGUCUUCGGAUUGUAAAGCACUUUAAGUUGGGAGGAAGGGUUGUAGAUUAAUACUCUGCAAUUUUGACGUUACCGACAGAAUAAGCACCGGCUAACUCUGUGCCAGCAGCCGCGGUAAUACA